Molecule: transfer RNA, 71 nt
Filed under: Loxodonta africana (African savanna elephant)
Lineage: Eukaryota; Metazoa; Chordata; Mammalia; Proboscidea; Elephantidae
Rfam family: tRNA
About the family: Transfer RNA (tRNA) molecules are approximately 80 nucleotides in length. Their secondary structure includes four short double-helical elements and three loops (D, anti-codon, and T loops). Further hydrogen bonds mediate the characteristic L-shaped molecular structure. tRNAs have two regions of fundamental functional importance: the anti-codon, which is responsible for specific mRNA codon recognition, and the 3' end, to which the tRNAs corresponding amino acid is attached (by aminoacyl-tRNA synthetases). tRNAs cope with the degeneracy of the genetic code in two manners: having more than one tRNA (with a specific anti-codon) for a particular amino acid; and 'wobble' base-pairing, i.e. permitting non-standard base-pairing at the 3rd anti-codon position.
Source: Rfam by way of RNAcentral
ACAUUGGUGGUUUAGUGGUAGAAUUCUCACUUUCCACGCGGGAGACCGGGGUUUAAUUCCCAGCUGAGGCA